This 495-nucleotide ribosomal RNA is filed under the name uncultured bacterium. RNAcentral describes it as "partial 16S ribosomal RNA". It matches the Rfam family "Bacterial small subunit ribosomal RNA", at positions 29 to 506 of the family's 1533-position model. The record is from RNAcentral.
AUGCACGCUGGCGGCGUGCCUCAUACAUGCCAGUCGAGCGAACGGACGAGAGGCUUGCUUCUCUGAUGUUAGCGGCGGACGGGUGAGUAACACGUGGAUAACCUACCUAUAAGACUGGGAUAACUUCGGGAAACCGGAGCUAAUACCGGAUGAUAUUUUGAACCGCAUGGUUCAAAAGUGAAAGACGGUCUUGCUGUCACUUAUAGAUGGAUCCGCGCUGCAUUAGCUAGUUGGUAAGGUAACGGCUUACCAAGGCAACGAUGCAUAGCCGACCUGAGAGGGUGAUCGGCCACACUGGAACUGAGACACGGUCCAGACUCCUACGGGAGGCAGCAGUAGGGGAUCUUCCGCAAUGGGCGAAAGCCUGACGGAGCAACGCCGCGUGAGUGAUGAAGGUCUUCGGAUCGUAAAACUCUGUUAUUAGGGAAGAACAGAUGUGUAAGUAACUGUGCACAUCUUGACGGUACCUAAGCAGAAAGCCACGGCUAACUACGU